CGGCGGACGGGUGAGUAACACGUGGAUAACCUACCUAUAAGACUGGGAUAACUUCGGGAAACCGGAGCUAAUACCGGAUAAUAUAUUGAACCGCAUGGUUCAAUAGUGAAAGACGGUUUUGCUGUCACUUAUAGAUGGAUCCGCGCUGCAUUAGCUAGUUGGUAAGGUAACGGCUUACCAAGGCAACGAUGCGUAGCCGACCUGAGAGGGUGAUCGGCCACACUGGAACUGAGACACGGUCCAGACUCCUACGGGAGGCAGCAGGU
Molecule: ribosomal RNA, 266 nt
Filed under: uncultured Staphylococcus sp.
Lineage: Bacteria; Bacillati; Bacillota; Bacilli; Caryophanales; Staphylococcaceae
Description: partial 16S ribosomal RNA
Rfam family: Bacterial small subunit ribosomal RNA
Source: RNAcentral